Molecule: long non-coding RNA, 151 nt
Organism: Microtus oregoni (creeping vole)
Lineage: Eukaryota; Metazoa; Chordata; Mammalia; Rodentia; Cricetidae
Exons: 3
Source: RefSeq, a predicted model, not a curated record
CGGUCUACAGCAUCGUGAAACAUCAUCAGUCUUUAGUUAAUGAAUGCUGUGACAACAGGGUCUGUACCAAGACACCUGAACAGGCACUGAAGACUGAGCCCGGGCCUUGUUCAUUCCAGCCUUCAAUACCGUGAGCAUGCAAGGUCUACAC